Molecule: unclassified non-coding RNA, 339 nt
Filed under: soil metagenome
Description: partial contains 5.8S ribosomal RNA, internal transcribed spacer 2, and large subunit ribosomal RNA
Rfam family: 5.8S ribosomal RNA (bases 1-120)
Source: RNAcentral
GAUGAAGAACGCAGUGAAAUGCGAUAAGUAGUGUGAAUUGCAGAAUUCAGUGAAUCAUCGAAUCUUUGAACGCACAUUGCGCCCUUUGGCAUUCCGAAGGGCAUACCUGUUCGAGCGUCAUUUCAACCGUCAAGCCUGGCUUGGUGUUGGGCGUCUUGUCCCGCCGCGUGCGUGGACUCGCCUCAAAAGAAUCGGCGUCUGUAUGUUGGCCUAAUGCGUAGCACAAUUCGCAGACCAGGCAGGCAUACCGGCGGCCGGAAAGCAACCUUUUUUUUUUUUGUUUGACCUCGGAUCAGGUAGGGAUACCCGCUGAACUUAAGCAUAUCAAUAAGCGGAGGA